UACGGGGGGAGCUAGCGUUGUUCGGAAUUACUGGGCGUAAAGCGCGCGUAGGCGGCUUUGUAAGUUAGAGGUGAAAGCCCGGGGCUCAACUCCGGAAUUGCCUUUAAGACUGCAUCGCUAGAAUCCGGGAGAGGUGAGUGGAAUUCCGAGUGUAGAGGUGAAAUUCGUAGAUAUUCGGAAGAACACCAGUGGCGAAGGCGGCUCACUGGACCGGUAUUGACGCUGAGGUGCGAAAGCGUGGGGAGCAAACAGG
This 253-nucleotide ribosomal RNA is filed under the name uncultured bacterium. Its description in RNAcentral is "partial 16S ribosomal RNA". It matches the Rfam family "Bacterial small subunit ribosomal RNA", at positions 524 to 776 of the family's 1533-position model. The record is from RNAcentral.